Molecule: ribosomal RNA, 451 nt
Filed under: uncultured bacterium
Lineage: Bacteria
Description: bacterial SSU rRNA
Rfam family: Bacterial small subunit ribosomal RNA
Source: RNAcentral
GUCGAGGAUCUUUUGCAAUGCGCGAAAGCGUGACAAAGCGACGCUGCGUGGAGGAUUAAGGCCUUCGGGUUGUAAACUCCUGUCGUCCGGGAACAAUGGCGGGCGGGUGAAUAUCCCGUCCGAGUGAGAGUACCGGAAGAGGAAGCCACGGCAAACUCUGUGCCAGCAGCCGCGGUAACACAGAGGUGGCGAGCGUUGUUCGGAUUUACUGGGCGUAAAGGGUGCGUAGGCGGUUCCGUGUGUCGAACGUGAAAUCCCACCGCUCAACGGUGGAACUGCAUUCGAAACUGCGGGGCUAGAGUUCAGGCGGGGAGAGCGGAAUUCCUGGUGUAGCGGUGAAAUGCGUUGAGAUCAGGAAGAACACCGGUGGCGAAGGCGGCUCUCUGGAAUGAUACUGACGCUGAGGCACGAAAGCUGGGGGAGCAAACAGGAUUAGAUACCCUGGUAGUCC